UCUUAUUUAGCAUUGGAUUUCAUACAUGACAACAAACAAAGGAAUACAUGAUCUGAAUCUAAAUGGUCUUAUUUGACUCUCUUAUUAAAGGCUAUUGUAGCAAACAAAUUUUUUUUUAAAUAAAAAUGGAGACGAGGGGCAUCGAACACUUCACUUGGGUUUUUAUAAAUCCAACAUAAACCACUGGACUACUUGAAACUAUUGAGAUUAACGGCAAGAAAUGAAUGUAAAUGGUCUUAUUUGACUCUCUUAUUAAAGUCUAUCGUAGGAACAAAAUGGAGAUGGGGGGGCAUCGAACACUUCACCUACGGUAAUUACACCUACAACAUAAACCACUGGACUAAUUGAAACUAUUGACAUUAGUGGCUGAUUACAAAAUUAAAUAAAGUGAAUCUAAAGUAAGCCAUACAACAUAUCAACCCCUAACGAUACCCUAAAUGAAUCUAAACUAGCCAUACAACAUAUGAACCCCUA
This 474-nucleotide long non-coding RNA is filed under the name Brassica napus (rape). Its description in RNAcentral is "long non-coding RNA (BNAP_LNC013597)". The record is from RNAcentral. Lineage: Eukaryota; Viridiplantae; Streptophyta; Magnoliopsida; Brassicales; Brassicaceae.